This is a long non-coding RNA of Salvia miltiorrhiza (redroot sage), 1003 nucleotides long. RefSeq lists it as uncharacterized. NCBI's taxonomy places the organism in Eukaryota, Viridiplantae, Streptophyta, Magnoliopsida, Lamiales, Lamiaceae. The record is from RefSeq and is a predicted model, not a curated record. The transcript is spliced from 3 exons.
UUAUAACGUAUGAAAAAAAAAAAAAAAAAAAAAAACGCGACGAGGAUUAUUGAGCAAUCAAUAAUUAUUAUUUCCAAGUUAUAACUGACUUAGCAAAGUCAUGUUAUUUAUUAAUCGAGAAACAGAAGCAGUUAUAUUUUAUUAGUGCUACUAGAAGUCGAGAAAUUAUUCCGACUGCAACGCAAAUUCAAUCUACGGAUUUAAUCUAGAUUCAUAUUACUGUAUUAGCAUCACCAAGGCAUGAGGAUAUAAUUCAUUUAUUCAUCAAUCUCAUUCUCAUACUUUACAAACUCUUAUAACCAAUUACAGUUUCACCUAUCAAUGCUAUGAAGUAGAUACAUGAAUAUGCUAGACAUAUAUGUAAGCAUACAAUCAUCAUUAUUUUUUUUCCACUCCCUAAUGUCUCCUACACUAUACACGCAUAAUCUCCACUUCUCCACUCCACCAACUAUCUCCACCACCUUUUGCUUUCUUCCACUACAUUUUUUUCUCACCACCCUUUCCACUCCACUAAUUCCACUACACCAAACUUUCCACCUACUCCCUUCCCCACCACACGCAAGAAUGCAUCUAACAUUCCAUUAUACAGGCAACAAUCUUUUCAUCAUCUUCAUUCUUCACUAAGGAACCGAAGAGCAGCCACGAGUUCUGCCAUAAGUACACUGCUCCGGCAGUGUUUUGCAAGGCGAUUCCAGCCAUCCAAAAGGUCCGGGCGACAGAAAGUGAAGCCGAAGAAGAAACGACUCCACGCCAGCUUUAAGAACAAUUGAGGUUGAGUUGUGAUGGGCGAUGAAGUGUUGCUGAGUGGAGUUUUUGUUGAACUUAAAGUAGGCUCAGAAAGGAUACAUGUCUUCAUACAUGUAUCUCAGUUAUGCAUUCCGCUGUACACACUGAUUAUUUCAGUUACACCUUCCGUUGCAAACUCUGAUAAUGUUUUAGCCAAGCCCCUAACGAUGCCUUUUUCCUUUUAAGGAAUAUAACGCUUAUACAAGUUCGUUGAGUA